GAUGAACGCUGGCGGCGUGCCUAAUACAUGCAAGUCGAGCGAACGGACGAGAAGCUUGCUUCUCUGAUGUUAGCGGCGGACGGGUGAGUAACACGUGGAUAACCUACCUAUAAGACUGGGAUAACUUCGGGAAACCGGAGCUAAUACCGGAGAAUAUUUUGAACCGCAUGGUUCAAAAGUGAAAGACGGUCUUGCUGUCACUUAUAGAUGGAUCCGCGCUGCAUUAGCUAGUUGGUAAGGUAACGGCUUACCAAGGCAACGAUGCGUAGCCGACCUGAGAGGGUGAUCGGCCACACUGGAACUGAGACACGGUCCAGACUCCUACGGGAGGCAGCAGUAGGGAAUCUUCCGCAAUGGGCGAAAGCCUGACGGAGCAACGCCGCGUGAGUGAUGAAGGUCUUCGGAUCGUAAAGCUCUGUUAUUAGGGAAGAACAUAUGUGUAAGUAACCGUGCACAUCUUGACGGUACCUAAUCAGAAAGCCACGGCUAACUACGUG
Molecule: ribosomal RNA, 497 nt
Filed under: uncultured bacterium
Lineage: Bacteria
Description: partial 16S ribosomal RNA
Rfam family: Bacterial small subunit ribosomal RNA
Source: RNAcentral